AGUCGGAUGUGAAAUCCCCGGGCUCAACCUGGGAACUGCAUUCGAAACUGGCAGGCUUGAGUCUUGUAGAGGGGGGUAGAAUUCCAGGUGUAGCGGUGAAAUGCGUAGAGAUCUGGAGGAAUACCGGUGGCGAAGGCGGCCCCCUGGACAAAGACUGACGCUCAGGUGCGAAAGCGUGGGGAGCAAACAGGAUUAGAUACCCUGGUAGUCCACGCCGUAAACGAUGUCUACUUGGAGGUUGUGCCCUUGAGGCGUGGCUUCCGGAGCUAACGCGUUAAGUAGACCGCCUGGGGAGUACGGCCGCAAGGUUAAAACUCAAAUGAAUUGACGGGGGCCCGCACAAGCGGUGGAGCAUGUGGUUUAAUUCGAUGCAACGCGAAGAACCUUACCUGGUCUUGACAUCCACGGAAGUUUUCAGAGAUGAGAAUGUGCCUUCGGGAACCGUGAGACAGGUGCUGCAUGGCUGUCGUCAGCUCGUGUUGUGAAAUGUUGGGUUAAGUCCCGCAACGAGCGCAACCCU
This 520-nucleotide ribosomal RNA is filed under the name Salmonella enterica subsp. enterica serovar Cerro. RNAcentral describes it as "bacterial SSU rRNA". It matches the Rfam family "Bacterial small subunit ribosomal RNA", at positions 586 to 1105 of the family's 1533-position model. The record is from RNAcentral. Lineage: Bacteria; Pseudomonadati; Pseudomonadota; Gammaproteobacteria; Enterobacterales; Enterobacteriaceae.